RNAcentral lists this ribosomal RNA (401 nucleotides) under uncultured bacterium. Its description in RNAcentral is "bacterial SSU rRNA". It matches the Rfam family "Bacterial small subunit ribosomal RNA", at positions 503 to 905 of the family's 1533-position model. The record is from RNAcentral.
CCGGCCAGCAGCCGCGGUAAUACGGAGGGGGUUAGCGUUGUUCGGAAUUACUGGGCGUAAAGCGCACGUAGGCGGAUUAGAAAGUUGGGGGUGAAAUCCCGGGGCUCAACCCCGGAACUGCCUCCAAAACUGCUAGUCUAGAGUUCGAGAGAGGUGAGUGGAAUUCCGAGUGUAGAGGUGAAAUUCGUAGAUAUUCGGAGGAACACCAGUGGCGAAGGCGGCUCACUGGCUCGAUACUGACGCUGAGGUGCGAAAGUGUGGGGAGCAAACAGGAUUAGAUACCCUGGUAGUCCACACCGUAAACGAUGAAUGCCAGUCGUCGGGUAGUAUACUAUUCGGUGACACACCUAACGGAUUAAGCAUUCCGCCUGGGGAGUACGGUCGCAAGAUUAAAACUCAAA